CGCAAUGGGCGAAAGCCUGACGCAGCGAUGCCGCGUGCGGGAUGAAGGCCUUCGGGUUGUAAACCGCUUUCAGCAGGGACGAAAUUGACGGUACCUGCAGAAGAAGCCCCCGGCCAACUACGUGCCAGCAGCCGCGGUAAUACGUAGGGGGCGAGCGUUGUCCGGAUUUAUUGGGCGUAAAGAGCUCGUAGGCGGUUCGAUAAGUCGGAUGUGAAAUCUCCACGCUCAACGUGGAGAGGCCAUUCGAUACUGUCGUGACUCGAGUCCGGUAGGGGAGUGUGGAAUUCCCGGUGUAGCGGUGAAAUGCGCAGAGAUCGGGAGGAACACCCGUAGCGAAGGCGGCACUCUGGGCCGGUACUGACGCUGAGGAGCGAAAGCGUGGGGAGCAAACAGGAUUAGAUACCCUGGUAGUCCACGCCGUAAACGUUGGGCACUAGGUGUGGGACUCUAUCGACGGGUUCCGUGCCGUAGCUAACGCAUUAAGUGCCCCGCCUGGGGAGUACGGCCGCAAGGCUA
RNAcentral lists this ribosomal RNA (516 nucleotides) under uncultured Actinomycetes bacterium. Its description in RNAcentral is "bacterial SSU rRNA". It matches the Rfam family "Bacterial small subunit ribosomal RNA", at positions 367 to 896 of the family's 1533-position model. The record is from RNAcentral. Lineage: Bacteria; Bacillati; Actinomycetota; Actinomycetes.